RNAcentral lists this small RNA (1706 nucleotides) under Oryza sativa Japonica Group (Japanese rice). RNAcentral describes it as "sRNA Os11g0135150". The record is from RNAcentral. Lineage: Eukaryota; Viridiplantae; Streptophyta; Magnoliopsida; Poales; Poaceae.
CACCAGCUGACAGUAUCUGAAUGUUCUAUUUGUAUUGUUGAGGAACCGCCAAGAAAGGUUUGAAGGUCAACAUGAGUCCAAUGACCUCAGUCAGGUUCAGUAAAAGAAACACCAUCUGAUCACCUGCACAACAUUGAAUUUCCAUUUUAUGAUCAAAUCAACAGAACACCUGCGCCAGCUGGUGCAACAGCCUUGAACAAGGACAUGGCCGUUGUAGCUAUUCCGUUUGCAGCACCCCGUUGCCCUUGUGGCUAAUUAUUUUUUUUUAAAAAUAUAAAUCAUAGGUUCAUAAAGUACUUACAGCAAGAACACUUUUGAUCAUUGCUGCACUAUAGAGGGCCACACCAAGUCUUAUUCCUGAUAAGUGCGUCAUAAAGGGAUAAGCAGCAAUAAUCGGUAUAGAUAUAACUCACCGACGCAAUGCGGGUUGAGUUGAUAGGUCCAAGAAUUUUAUCAACCCAACGGUAGAUAAAAAGUUGAUAUACAAGAAGGCUGGCACCUGCCACUGCAAGAACUUGCCCAACAUCUUUAGAUGAAAAGCUGAGUCCACCAUAUUUUCUAUCACUUACAGUCCACAGAGAAAAUAUCUCGCUAUAUGCGGUGUCGUGAAGGGAGAAGACACAAUAUGUGAUGAUAGAUGACAUCAAUGGCCAAUUUCUGAAUAAACUUUUCUUAUGUGAUUCUGCACUUCCUUGAGUAGUAGAAGCUUCAGCUGCCUCCACUCCUGUUUCAAGGCCUUUAUGCUUAUUAAUACAUACCGGUAGCCAUAUACAGCUUAUGAGGACCAAGAGAGCAAAAAGUGAUAUACAAAGACAGGGUAGAAGGAAAAAUACCUCCCAAAUAUUGACUUUUCAUGAAAAAGAUGAGGAUAUUGUUUGACAGGCUGAGCGAGGUAGCCUCCAAUUGCUGGACCAACUACAAGACCUAUUCCCCAUGCUGUGCUCACCUAAAAUUUUGAUGACAUGGAUGAAACUUAGUCCAUGACAUGAAACAAAGUUAUGCCAUCAUAUAUAUAGAUGUGAAGUGCUAUAUAUAGAUUUGUAUUUUACAAUUGAUAGGCCCAGAGCUUGAUGUUCAGCUCGGCAAACUUCGAUAGAGUAAGCCUGCAGCCACAAGUAAUAUAAAACAUAAUUAAGUAGAUUGUUGAUGGAAUAAGAAUACCAAUUGAUACUGACACCAUCCCUUAUUUGUUCUCAACAGACUUCUUUCACAUUUCAAAGUAUCUUAAUGUUUCCUAAAAAGGUACCUUUAUUGGUGCAAGCAAUCCAUUCAGAGCACCAAGAAGGAAUCUCGUGGUAACAGCCAUCCAGUACUUCACACUUAAUCCAAACAAAGUACUAUAGUGCUUACACUGCAAAAAUGGAAAAGAUAAUGACAGGCUUUCGGCCAAUACGAUCCGCUACCAUACCCCACAAGAUUGAUGCAAAACCUCGACCGAUCAUAUAUGAUGCACCAAGAAAUCCAGCAUAGAAUCCAAUAUCUUCCUCUGUCCGAGAAAUAUGCAAUUCCCUUAUCUUUGACUGUGCAUGUAUGCGUGCUAAUUCUAUAUUAUAUAUUCAUACAGGAGGCGAGGGUGGUGAUGGCAACGAAGAGGAACUCCUUGUAGGGAAUGCCCUUGUGCUCCUCCUUCCUCUGCUCCAUGGCGCAGCCGGGGCAGCCAUCGUGGUAUACCUUGGUCGCCGGCGGCUCAGCCAUCAACGGCGACG